UGAGUAACAACCAUAGACUGUACAUAUACUGGACAAUUCGAUUCCAUAGGCUUCAAUAACACGUUAUCUGUCCAUAAUGGGAGGUGUCCACCACCGCCAUUUUGACCGUGUCACAGGUUCCGUCCAGCCCAGACAAUUCCAUAAAAGGGAAGAGAGGAGGCGCUGAGGGUGUGGCUGUAAGGCUGGGCUCGAGUGACGACACCCAGGCGAACUAGCUACGAGCUAACCUGAAGCUAACCCUGGCUAACCCAAAGCUAAAGCGGAGGUGGGAGCCGAGCUAACGGAUGUAGCCACCUAGCUUCAACCCAACCGGAGCUAACUGGAACACCCAUCGACCUGAACCUCACACGGAGUUUAGGUGGAGGUUUUCUGCGCCUGUUCGUGAGAAGUACCUGUAUUAAAAAAGUUUUAAAUCGAUCUAUUAAAAGGUCACCAUGGCAGCCUGUGUGUCAACGUCAGCUACACAAAGCAAGUCCAUUUGGAUCAUUGGAGACAGCUGAGUGAGGCGUGGUGCCCAGAGAGCUGCAGAGACAACCUUGGCCUCCCUGACGUCUGUGUCUCUUGGUUUGGUUGGGGCGGACCAUCGACAUACAUACAUACAUGUGCCGACAAUUUGCGCCCUGUUUUAUAAAAUGUAGUGUUAAAAAUAAAUGUUUUUGCUCAAUUACUGGAAUUUCUUUGGUUAAAUCAAAAGUGAGGAAUAAUCAUUUACAAGUUAUUUGUACAACAGGCCCAUUUUAAAUCCCAACAGUUUCUUAGCAGACAAUAGAAAUGUGUUCUUUACUAACUUUACUUGGUUUGAAAAUCUUACUAAAAUAAACUUGAGUGCCGUAUUGCAAAACCCAAUCAUACUUGUUAUGUAAACAUUAGCUUUGUAGAUAUUUUUUACAGAUAUAUAUUUGUGUGCAACAAAAAACAAACUUAAAUAAUUUGUCAUUCUUUAUUGAAAAACAACAAAAUACAGGUAUACAGAAGUGUGGGAAAAUGAUAAUGUGAAAGUAUUGCACUAUAAAUGAAGUGAGAUGAGAUGAAGGUGAGAUGAAGGUGGAUGCCAGCGGGCUGGACGCCGGACGAGGAAACCUGGAGACGGAUCGCUCAGACAGGAAGGGAAGAGCUUCCUCUUACCUUGAUGGAAUUAAAGUUAGCCGUCGUCUGAACGCCCAACCGUACGGUCUGAGGUCAAAGGUCACAGGAAACACACACCAGUCAGCAGUCAUACAGAUGCAUAAAAAUAACUGUAGCCAUGGCAACCAGCUGACAUGUCCCCACUUUCACCAGCACCUGGUGCCUGCCGGGUCACCUGAAUUCCUGUGUGAUGUCAGCACGGUCGGCCGUGACUGCGGCCAUCAGAGGUGACCUCUGAUCAGCUGAAUGAACUCACCUUCCAGGGUGACGCCGUGUUAGAGUCGGCUUCAUCCUGUAAACAAACAAACAAACAAAUGAGUGGUAACAUAAACACCACGUCUGGUUCUGGUGGAGGCGGAGGACAACAUGCACCUUUCCAGGAGCAGAACCCAGAUGUUCUUGUUGCUACAAACAGAGACGAGCAGAGUUAAACCAGGAAGUGAGAGGGACCAGCUGCUGCAGACAGGUGAUGCUCACCUGAGCCUGAACCAUAGGAGCCUCCUCAGCCAUCAGACCUUCUGACUCCAGUUCAGAUGCCACCUUGUUGAUGUCCCUCAGGCGGGACUCGUUGGCCUUCAGGUCCUGCAGGACAAAAGCACCUGCUGAUUACCUUGUUGCGUUCGGUUUAACAGGUCUGGUGUUAGAACGUGGUGGAUAAGAAUGUUCUGACGGGCCGAGGGUUCUGAACUCACCCUGCAGGACUGGGCCUGCUCCUUCAGGGCCUGGAUGCUGCUGCCGUAAGCCGACAGGUCCGACAUCAGGGCCUCGUGCUUCUUCAGGAGAGCCUGUGGAGCAGAACAUCAGAACCUUCAGCUCGUCUGACACAAGUGGAGCUUUCUCGCAGCGAUGGUCCAAUCGGAUCCGCCACCGUAAAACAAACCCUGCUCAGUUCACCGCAGACGCAGCUCUGCGGGUGUUUAGUGGAAAAGCGUGAGCCUUCUGCCGGCUGCCACGUGUCAUGGCUGCUCUGCAGCGGGAACACACAUCACAGCUUGUAAACCGUUUGAAAUAAGAGCGACGGGAACACGUUUGUCAUCACUUCCUGUGCGAGGCCAGCACUUCUACCCCUAACCCAUGAGACGCUCAAACGAGCAACGACGUCUGGUAGACAACCGAAGGAAAUGACAAAUACAGAAACACUAAUUAUGAAGGACUGGAAAGAGAGCAAAGAAAAGCGAUUGGAGUUUCUCAGGAAGGGACUUCCAUACCUCGGCCAAGUCCUCGUCUUUCCCUUAGUCUGGACUUCCAACGAUGGGCUCCUUCUCCCUCAUCCAGGACUCGGCCUCAUUAGCAUCCGCAAAGUACUGCUGGGCCUGCAGAGAGUCCUCCAGGUCCUGCCUCCUCUGGGACGCCUUGGCCUUCAGCGUGUCCCAACGUCCAUGAAGCUCCCACAGUUUAGUCUUCACUUCCUCACCAGCGAAGUGACCUGGACCCAAAAAAAGUGAGCCAGAACCUGCAGACACCUCAGAAACAUGUCAGGACCAGACCUGCUCUACCUUCUUCCACCAUGGUCUCUCCUUUCUGGGUGACAGCCUUGAUGCGAGGUUCAUGACCUGUGAUCUCAGCCUGCAGAGCCUGGUGCUUCUUCAGCAGGUUCUGGACACCAAUCAGGUCCUUCC
Molecule: long non-coding RNA, 2744 nt
Organism: Nothobranchius furzeri (turquoise killifish)
Lineage: Eukaryota; Metazoa; Chordata; Actinopteri; Cyprinodontiformes; Nothobranchiidae
Source: RefSeq, a predicted model, not a curated record